UCCUCAGUAGCUCAGUUGGUAGAGCAGCAGACUGUUAAUCUGUGGGUCACACGUUCGAUCCGUGUCUGGGGAG
RNAcentral lists this transfer RNA (73 nucleotides) under Acinetobacter phage Acj61. It matches the Rfam family "tRNA". Rfam says of the family: Transfer RNA (tRNA) molecules are approximately 80 nucleotides in length. Their secondary structure includes four short double-helical elements and three loops (D, anti-codon, and T loops). The record is from Rfam by way of RNAcentral. Lineage: Duplodnaviria; Heunggongvirae; Uroviricota; Caudoviricetes; Pantevenvirales; Straboviridae.